GGAGAAAAUAUUGAAUUUGCUUCUAAGUCGGAACUAUAUAUGCGGGCGCGUAGCGAGAGAGAGAGAGAGAGAGAGAGAGGAGGGAGAGGGGUUGGAGGUUGGUGAAUUUCAACAAUGAUAGAAUGGCUAAAACAACUACGAAAAUCAUUUGGGUUUUCAUUCCUCUGGCUUAUCUGCUUGAUUUACUUCACCCAGGGUUUCAGAACUUUUGUAUGGACAGCAGUUUCCUACCAGCUAAAAGACAGGCUUAAGUUGUCACCCUCAGCCUCUCAAUUUGUGUAUUCAAUAGCAAUCUUCCCAUGGAGCAUAAAACCAUUAUAUGGAAUUUUGUCCGACUGUAUUCCAAUUGGAGGAAGAAAAAGGAUUCCAUACUUGGUGGUUGCAUCCAUAUUCUCUCUUUUUCCAUGGCUCGUUUUAGGCCUAAAUGCACCCCUAAUGGAUUCCAAAGUGCACCUCAUGAUCUCCUUAACAGUGCAGAACCUUGGCUCAGCCAUGGCAGAUGUUGUGGUUGAUGCGAUGAUUGCAGAGGCAGUAAGAUUUGAAAGGGCUGCAUUUACUGGAGACCUCCAGUCACUAUCUUGGUUGGCAAUGGCUAUUGGAGGAAUAUGUGGGAGUUUGUUGGGAGGAUAUGCAUUAACUAACAUAGAAAUAGGUCAAAUAUUUCUUUUAUUCUCUUUACUUCCAUCCAUACAGCUAUUAUCAUGUGGUUUGGUCAAGGAGAAUCCUUUAGGCAGUAAAUUUUUGCCCGAGCUUUCUAAUUCAGGAAGCUCCCAGAUAGUGAAUGGAGACAAUAAUGUUCUGGAUGAAGAUUCUUCCAAUUCUGAAAGGUCCAGAAUUAGUACUUCGAGGAGAAAGAAGAGACGAACAAACAAAAAGAAGAGAGUGGUCAUUAAAAGUAAAUCCCAGAUCUCAGAAAAAGAUGGAUCAUUGGCGUUACAGUGGUUCCACACUCUGAAAAUGGCCGCUUGUAGUUUGUACUCUGCUUUUAGACAGCCAAUCAUUUUGAGACCAAUGGCGUGGUUUUUCCUAGCACAUGUUUCUGUUCCAAACCUUUCAACUGUCAUGUUCUAUUACCAGACAGAGUUCUUGAACUUGGAAGCAUCAUUUCUGGGGACUGUCCGUGUUGUUGGGUGGUUAGGCCUCAUGCUUGGAACAUUCACUUAUAAUCAUUACUUGAAGAAGAUGAGACUAAGAAGAAUUCUGAUGUUGGCUCAUGUUGGUUAUUCUUUCAUGAGUCUUCUAAAUAUUGCUUUAGUGGCUCGAACAAAUGUUGUAUUUGGCAUAUCGGAUAAGAUCAUGGUGCUAUGUGGUUCUGCUUUUCAUGAUGCCAUCCAUCAAUUCAAGUUUAUGCCAUUCCUCAUAUUAUCUGGACGGCUAUGCCCGCCUGGUAUUGAAGGGACUUUAUUUGCCCUGUUCAUGUCAAUAAACAAUCUUGGGGCCACCAUCGGAUCAUUUAUGGGUGCUGGGUUGGCUUCAGUUCUAAACAUCUCUUCGGGUUCUUUUGACAACCUUCUUUUGGGCAUGGUGAUUCAAGUCCUCUGCACUUUCAUCCCAAUUGCUUUCCUAUUUUUGAUACCAAAGGAGGCUACAGGGAUAUCGACAUAAUUUAGUUAGCAAAUGAUAAAGUGAAACAGGAAUCACCAAGAAACUGAAGAUGAAACAGCAGGAAUGCAGUUCUGGCAUGACAAAGCCCCUGUUAUGGCUUUCAUCCCAGGCUUUGGGUCAUAGGGAUAUAUUGAGUGCAUUUACAGAAGAGAAUGUAUGUGGCACCAAGCAUCCCAUAAAGGUCUCUUCAAUUCUAAAAAUGGCUUACUCUCAUUUCAGCGAACGAUGAAGAUGCUUAUGAUUACAGCAAUGAUCUUCACCCAAUCGCUAGUUCUUUGCCCCGCACUUGUGUAGGAUGAUUACACAACCCUCUUGAGGGGGAUGAGCCUGGGUGGCUUUUUCUGGAAGACUUGGGAAUUAGGAGUGGGAAUGUUUUUUCGAGUUAUUUCAAUGGAAAUGAAAACUUGGGAUUUCAAUUUA
This is an RNA transcript of Vitis vinifera (wine grape), 2025 nucleotides long. It is a transcript of the gene named probable folate-biopterin transporter 4, with no coding region annotated. Lineage: Eukaryota; Viridiplantae; Streptophyta; Magnoliopsida; Vitales; Vitaceae. The transcript is spliced from 8 exons. The record is from RefSeq and is a predicted model, not a curated record.